AAAUUGAAGAGUUUGAUCAUGGCUCAGAUUGAACGCUGGCGGCAGGCCUAACACAUGCAAGUCGAACGGUAACAGGAAGCAGGUUGCUGCUUCGCUGACGAGUGGCGGACGGGUGAGUAAUGUCUGGGAAACUGCCUGAUGGAGGGGGAUAACUACUGGAAACGGUAGCUAAUACCGCAUAAUGUCGCAAGACCAAAGAGGGGGACCUUCGGGCCUCUUGCCAUCGGAUGUGCCCAGAUGGGAUUAGCUUGUUGGUGGGGUAACGGCUCACCAAGGCGACGAUCCCUAGCUGGUCUGAGAGGAUGACCAGCCACACUGGAACUGAGACACGGUCCAGACUCCUACGGGAGGCAGCAGUGGGGAAUAUUGCACAAUGGGCGCAAGCCUGAUGCAGCCAUGCCGCGUGUAUGAAGAAGGCCUUCGGGUUGUAAAGUACUUUCAGCGGGGAGGAAGGGAGUAAAGUUAAUACCUUUGCUCAUUGACGUUACCCGCAGAAGAAGCACCGGCUAACUCCGUGCCAGCAGCCGCGGUAAUACGGAGGGUGCAAGCGUUAAUCGGAAUUACUGGGCGUAAAGCGCACGCAGGCGGUUUGUUAAGUCAGAUGUGAAAUCCCCGGGCUCAACCUGGGAACUGCAUCUGAUACUGGCAAGCUUGAGUCUCGUAGAGGGGGGUAGAAUUCCAGGUGUAGCGGUGAAAUGCGUAGAGAUCUGGAGGAAUACCGGUGGCGAAGGCGGCCCCCUGGACGAAGACUGACGCUCAGGUGCGAAAGCGUGGGGAGCAAACAGGAUUAGAUACCCUGGUAGUCCACGCCGUAAACGAUGUCGACUUGGAGGUUGUGCCCUUGAGGCGUGGCUUCCGGAGCUAACGCGUUAAGUCGACCGCCUGGGGAGUACGGCCGCAAGGUUAAAACUCAAAUGAAUUGACGGGGGCCCGCACAAGCGGUGGAGCAUGUGGUUUAAUUCGAUGCAACGCGAAGAACCUUACCUGGUCUUGACAUCCACGGAAGUUUUCAGAGAUGAGAAUGUGCCUUCGGGAACCGUGAGACAGGUGCUGCAUGGCUGUCGUCAGCUCGUGUUGUGAAAUGUUGGGUUAAGUCCCGCAACGAGCGCAACCCUUAUCCUUUGUUGCCAGCGGUCCGGCCGGGAACUCAAAGGAGACUGCCAGUGAUAAACUGGAGGAAGGUGGGGAUGACGUCAAGUCAUCAUGGCCCUUACGACCAGGGCUACACACGUGCUACAAUGGCGCAUACAAAGAGAAGCGACCUCGCGAGAGCAAGCGGACCUCAUAAAGUGCGUCGUAGUCCGGAUUGGAGUCUGCAACUCGACUCCAUGAAGUCGGAAUCGCUAGUAAUCGUGGAUCAGAAUGCCACGGUGAAUACGUUCCCGGGCCUUGUACACACCGCCCGUCACACCAUGGGAGUGGGUUGCAAAAGAAGUAGGUAGCUUAACCUUCGGGAGGGCGCUUACCACUUUGUGAUUCAUGACUGGGGUGAAGUCGUAACAAGGUAACCGUAGGGGAACCUGCGGUUGGAUCACCUCCUUACCUUAAAGAAGC
RNAcentral lists this ribosomal RNA (1554 nucleotides) under Escherichia coli. RNAcentral describes it as "bacterial SSU rRNA". It matches the Rfam family "Bacterial small subunit ribosomal RNA". Lineage: Bacteria; Pseudomonadati; Pseudomonadota; Gammaproteobacteria; Enterobacterales; Enterobacteriaceae. The record is from RNAcentral.